RNAcentral lists this long non-coding RNA (2203 nucleotides) under Nicotiana benthamiana. RNAcentral's name for it is "long non-coding RNA (NBEN_LNC041977)". The record is from RNAcentral. Lineage: Eukaryota; Viridiplantae; Streptophyta; Magnoliopsida; Solanales; Solanaceae.
CCACGUCUAGUUGCCCGUUACUGCCGACUCAACAUGUGAAAUAACUGGGCUCAAAGUGAGCCCAGCUUGGCAGCCUUAUUAAGGAAGCGGAAGGCAACUGCAAUUGGGCCAAAAAUGACAGCCUAAAACACGAUUCGUCGAAUACACCUGAAGCCAAUUGCAUCAUUUAAGAACAUUUGGAAUUGAAUAAACACUGAUAAUAUUUAAUUCAAAUCCAAAGCAGAUUUUAAGUGGAUUCUAAGACAAUCCCUAGCUGUAAUAACACCCCUUUUUGCACAAAUUAUUCACCAAUUACAAACCUUAAAGGCCUCCACAGCUUGCACUAAAAUCUGAUGCAGCUAGAGCAUAUUUAAAACAAGUAGACUUCGAAACUUUCCCAAGAAAACUGAAUGUAAGAGCUGAUCCCAAUAUAAACAUUUCAAGUCCAAAAUAAAGCUCAAAUCCCUAUUAGAGAAUCAUAUUAAAAUUCAGUAUUUUUCAUGAGCAAAGGCAGUCAUAAAUGAUAGCUUUGAAAGCCAUGUAUACUCAAACACAGACUGAUAAAUCUCAGCAUUACCCAAUAACUAAUACACUAGGAGACCUUGAAUACUACUGAGAAUGCAUGCUUGACUUCAAAAUAAUAAACAUUCAUGCAUGGAUUCUAAUUUGAGAUAGAUUUCAAGUACAACAUGGAACUUCAAACCAACUAACUCCUUCUCAAUACCAAACAGUAACAAAAUCUAGAGAAACAAUCAGCACUUAAACUUUUUGAAGAGCACACAUUCAUUUAGAGCAUACUAAUGCUAUGGAACAGCUAAAAUAACAUGUAUGACUAAGAAACCAUUACAUAACACUAGAGAAAUAAAACAUAGCAAAUGGAAUGGAAUUCAAUUGCAACUCAGAUUCAGAAAGGUUCCAACUCGAAGCACAUCAUUUGAUGACUAUGAUUAGGAAAAAUACAUGUAUGUAAGAGAAAAGCAAAAAGGAAUGUGGAUUCAAUAAGCAGGCAGCAACAGAACAGAGCCCAGCAAUAUCAAUGAAACAGUAAAAACCCCUCAACAGCUCAAAACCCCAAAAUCAAACCAUCUUCAAACGAGUGCAGAAUUUAAGACUUUCAGAGAUUCUAGCUAGUGAAAAGGAUCAGAAAAUCAACACUAAACAUGACUUUUGAGUAGUCUUUCAUAAAGAAAAUGCAGGGAAAUCAAUGUACUUUCCAAGUUUUCAACAGUUUUAAUUUUUGCAAAAUUUUUCUCUAAUUUUUCUUGCUUGUUCAAGAAGGAAGGGUGCCUUCAUAGGAAAACUUUUAGGGCUGCAGAAAUGCAAUUAGUUUUGCACCCCAAGCCUUUUUACAAUUUCAUUUUUGCUUAGGGGACCUUAGUUUAAAAAACUAACAACCACAUUAGUCCCAGCAUCCAGCUUCCUAGAAGUUUCCUCAGGCUGUUACUAAAGAUUCCCUCUACAAAAAUACCCUAAGUACCCCUUUGAGCCUUGUUAAUUACCAUAAAAUUCAUGGAUCAAGCUAACCCAAUGAUUAAAACAAAUUUGGGACAACUUGAAUCAUUUCUAAUUUGGGCUUUUUGAUUUCAAAAACCAAAUUAACGUUGAAAGCCUAAGACUCUUGAGUAUUCAAUUUGCAGCGUCUUAAAGAUUUGAACAAUUCGGGUCCAAAAUAAAAGAAAAAUCUAAUACGUCUAGGCCAGAACACAAAUAAUUAUUAAAUACAAACUAAAAUUAACAUGCAUACGGUGUGAAGAAAUAAAAAACAAAAAUGGAAAAUAAAAAAAAAGGUAAAGGCAUACGAUUAAAGAACAAAGAUAGAAAUUAAAGGUCAAAUGGUAAAACAAAAGAAAUACCUAAGAAUUUCUGACCAAAUCUUGAAAUCGAACCCAUGCCUUCAAUUUUGGCCGAAAUGAGCCUUAAUCGUGUGUUUUCAAACAAAAACACACGAGUAAGGUUAACUUCGACCCCAAAUCUUCAACAAAACUCGCAAAUUCGAGUGUUGGAAAUUUAGGGUUCAUGCUCUAAUUAAAAUUCGAAGGGUUCAAGGAAUAUUCGGGGGAAAAGAGUUGUGGAUUUGGUACGAGGGGGUCGUGGGCAUUUCAGGGUGUUAAUUUGGGUAGUUUAGAGGUGGCGCCGCCAGGCAGAUGCGGUAGAAAAGGGAGCGGCAGAUUAGGGUUUGGGCAGGUUAUCUCUGAGGAUGGGAUUGAGAGAGACGAUGAGCGAG